This 2932-nucleotide ribosomal RNA is filed under the name Parabacteroides distasonis. Its description in RNAcentral is "23S ribosomal RNA". It matches the Rfam family "Bacterial large subunit ribosomal RNA". Lineage: Bacteria; Pseudomonadati; Bacteroidota; Bacteroidia; Bacteroidales; Tannerellaceae. The record is from RNAcentral.
AGAAAGUAAGCAAGGGCAGACGGUGGAUGCCUUGGCUCUCGGAGGCGACGAAGGACGUGAUAAGCUGCGAAAAGCCCGGGGGAGGCGCAAAUAGCCCUUGAUCCCGGGAUAUCCGAAUGGGGCAACCCGGCAGGCUGAAGGCCUGCCAUCCCGAAAGGGAGGCGAACGUGGGGAACUGAAACAUCUAAGUACCCAUAGGAGGAGAAAAUAAACAAUGAUUCCGUAAGUAGUGGCGAGCGAACACGGAAGAGCCCAAACCCAUGUCGUCUAGGCGACACGGGGGUUGUAGGACCACGACGUGGCAAGAUAGAGUCAAGUGGAACGCCUUGGAAAAGGCGGUCAUAGAGGGUGAAAACCCCGUACACGACUGACGAUUGAAGCCUAGUGGCAUCCUGAGUAGCGCGGGGCACGAGAAAUCUUGCGUGAAUUAGCGGGGCCCAUCCCGUAAGGCUAAAUACUCCCGAGAGACCGAUAGCGAACCAGUACCGUGAGGGAAAGGUGAAAAGAACCCCGAGCAGGGGAGUGAAAUAGACCCUGAACCCGUCUGCCUACAAGCGGUCGGAGCGUCGUAAUGACGUGACGGCGUGCCUUUUGCAUAAUGAACCUACGAGUUACCUUCCCCGGCAAGGUUAAGUUCUUGAGGAACGGAGCCGAAGCGAAAGCGAGUCUGAACAGGGCGCCAAGUCGGNNNNNNNNNNACGGAGCCGAAGCGAAAGCGAGUCUGAACAGGGCGCCAAGUCGGGGGGGGUAGACGCGAAACCGAGUGAUCUACCCUUGGCCAGGUUGAAGGUUGGGUAACACCAACUGGAGGACCGGAUGGGUAAGCGUUGAAAAGCUUUCCAAUGAGCUGAGGGUAGGGGUGAAAGGCUAAUCAAACUCGGAGAUAGCUCGUACUCCCCGAAAUGCAUUUAGGUGCAGCCUCUUUAUAGUAUAUCGUGAGGUAGAGCGACUGAUUGGAUGCGAGGGCUUCACCGCCUAUCAAGUCCAGAUAAACUCCGAAUGCGCGAUAUAUAUUUACAGGGAGUGAGGGCGCGGGUGCUAAGGUCCGUGUCCGAGAGGAGAAGAAUCCAGACCACCGGCUAAGGCCCCCAAAUGAUCGUUAAGUUGAACUAACGAGGUCGGAUCGCAGAGACAGCUAGGAUGUUGGCUUGGAAGCAGCCAUUCAUUUAAAGAGUGCGUAACAGCUCACUAGUCGAGCGAUCUGGCGUGGAUAAUAAUCGGGCAUAAACGAUCUGCCGAAGCCGUGGAUGUCGCAAGACAUGGUAGGGGAGCAUUCCAUGCCGCGUCGAAGAUGAGGGAUGACCCUUGUUGGAGCGCAUGGAAAAGCAAAUGUAGGUAUGAGUAACGAUAAGGGGGGCGAGAAACCCCCCCGCCGAAAGACCAAGGUUUCCUGAUCAACGCUAAUCGGAUCAGGGUGAGUCGGGACCUAAGGCAAAGCCGAACGGCGCCGCCGAUGGAAGAAUGGGUUAAUAUUCCCAUACUGCCUCAUGGAGUGACGUGGAGACGGAGAAGUGACAGUCCUGCCGGCUGACGGAAUAGCCGGUUGAAGGGUGUAGAUAUUGAUUCCCGUAGGCAAAUCCGCGGGGAGAGUCGAACCUGAGAGUAUACGGAGCGCUUGCGCAACGUAAUAUGGACGUAACCAUGCUCCCGAGAAAAUCCGCUAAACUUAUCCAUGCGGCACCCGUACCGUAAACGGACACACGUGGUCGGGUUGAGAAUACUGAGGCGCUCGAGUGAUUCACGGUUAAGGAACUAGGCAAAUUGACCCUGUAACUUCGGGAUAAAGGGUCCUCGUCGUAAGGCGAGGCGCAGAGAAUAGGUCCAGGCAACUGUUUAACAAAAACACAUGGCUGUGCUAAAUGGAAACAUGAUGUAUACAGCCUGACACCUGCCCGGUGCCGGAAGGUUAAGAGGAGAUGUCAUCCGCGAGGAGAAGCGUUGAAUUGAAGCCCCGGUAAACGGCGGCCGUAACUAUAACGGUCCUAAGGUAGCGAAAUUCCUUGUCGGGUAAGUUCCGACCUGCACGAAUGGUGUAAUGAUCUGGACACUGUCUCAACCGUGAGCUCGGUGAAAUUGUAGUAUCGGUGAAGAUGCCGAUUACCCGCGAUGGGACGAAAAGACCCCGUGAACCUUUACUAUAGCUUUACAUUGAGUUUGGGCAGACGAUGUGUAGGAUAGGCCGGAGGCAUUGAAGCAGGUACGCCAGUAUUUGUGGAGCCGACGUUGAAAUACGGCCCUUCGGUUGUUUGAGUUCUAACUCCUAGUUAGGAGGACACUGUAUGGUGGGUAGUUUGACUGGGGUGGUCGCCUCCAAAAGCGUAACGGAGGCUUCUAAAGGUGCCCUCAGACCGAUUGGUAACCGGUCGCAGAGUGUAAUGGCAUAAGGGCGCUUGACUGGGAGACAUACAAGUCGAUCAGGUAGGAAACUAGAGCAUAGUGAUCCGGUGGUUCCGCAUGGAAGGGCCAUCGCUCAAAGGAUAAAAGGUACUCCGGGGAUAACAGGCUGAUCAUUCCCAAGAGCUCAUAUCGACGGAAUGGUUUGGCACCUCGAUGUCGGCUCGUCACAUCCUGGGGCUGGAGAAGGUCCCAAGGGUUGGGCUGUUCGCCCAUUAAAGUGGCACGCGAGCUGGGUUCAGAACGUCGUGAGACAGUUCGGUCUCUAUCUAUCGUGGGCGCAGGAGAUUUGCGAGGCUCUGACACUAGUACGAGAGGACCGUGUCGGACGUACCACUGGUUUACCGGUUGUCCCGCCAGGGGCACCGCCGGGUAUCUAAGUACGGAUCGGAUAAGUGCUGAAAGCAUCUAAGUACGAAGCCGGCCUCAAGAUUAGAUCUCCCUCAAGGGUGGUUAUAGACGAUGACCUUGAUAGGCCACAGGUGUAAGGGCGGCGACGUCCGAGCCGAGUGGUACUAAUAGCCCGGGACUUUCCUCA